GACGAACGCUGGCGGCGUGCUUAACACAUGCAAGUCGAACGGAAAGGCCCUUCUUUUGAGUGGUGCUCGAGUGGCGAACGGGUGAGUAACACGCGAGUUACCUUCCUCUGACUUUUGGAUUAUUUCAGGAAACUGUGGCUAAUACCGAUUUAGUGCUCCUGCUCCAUUGUUGUUGUUGGCUAGUUUCGGAGGUUGUGGAUGGACUCGCGGCUUAUUAGCUUGUUGGUUGAGUGCUGGCUUACCAAGGCUUUGUCGGGUAGCCGGCCUGAGAGGGGGACCGGCAAAAGGGGGACUGAGAUACGGCCCAGACUCCUACGGGAGGCAGCAGUAGGGAAUAUUGCACAAUGGGCGGAAGCCGGAUGCAGCAACGCCGCGUGAGGGAUGACGGCCUUCGGGUGGUAAACCGCUUACGCAUGUGACGAAGCGUAAGUGAAGGUAAUGGGCAAAGAAGCACCGGCUAACUACGUG
RNAcentral lists this ribosomal RNA (468 nucleotides) under uncultured bacterium. Its description in RNAcentral is "partial 16S ribosomal RNA". It matches the Rfam family "Bacterial small subunit ribosomal RNA", at positions 28 to 507 of the family's 1533-position model. The record is from RNAcentral.